UACGUAGGGUGCAAGCGUUAAUCGGAAUUACUGGGCGUAAAGCGUGCGUAGUCGGUUAUUUAAGUCGGGCGUGAAAGCCCCGGGCUCAACCUGGGAAUUGCGUUCGAUACUGGAUAGCUAGAGUUCGGCAGAGGGAAGCGGAAUUUCCGGUGUAGCGGUGAAAUGCGUAGAUAUCGGAAGGAACAUCAGUGGCGAAGGCGGCUUCCUGGACCAGAACUGACGAUCAGGCACGAAAGCGUGGGGAGCAAACAGG
Molecule: ribosomal RNA, 253 nt
Filed under: uncultured bacterium
Lineage: Bacteria
Description: partial 16S ribosomal RNA
Rfam family: Bacterial small subunit ribosomal RNA
Source: RNAcentral